UACAGAGGUCCCGAGCGUUGUUCGGAUUCACUGGGCGUAAAGGGUGCGUAGGUGGCGAGGUAAGUCGGAUGUGAAAGCUCGGAGCUCAACUCCGAAAUGGCAUUGGAAACUACCUUGCUCGAGGGUUGGAGGGGGGACUGGAAUACUUGGUGUAGCAGUGAAAUGCGUAGAUAUCAAGAGGAACACCAGUGGCGAAGGCGAGUCCCUGGACGAUACCUGACACUGAGGCACGAAAGCCAAGGGAGCAAACAGG
This 253-nucleotide ribosomal RNA is filed under the name uncultured prokaryote. Its description in RNAcentral is "partial 16S ribosomal RNA". It matches the Rfam family "Bacterial small subunit ribosomal RNA", at positions 524 to 776 of the family's 1533-position model. The record is from RNAcentral.